RNAcentral lists this ribosomal RNA (464 nucleotides) under uncultured bacterium. Its description in RNAcentral is "partial 16S ribosomal RNA". It matches the Rfam family "Bacterial small subunit ribosomal RNA", at positions 28 to 507 of the family's 1533-position model. The record is from RNAcentral.
GACGAACGCUGGCGGCGUGCUUAACACAUGCAAGUCGAACGAUGAAGCCAGCUUGCUGGUGGAUUAGUGGCGAACGGGUGAGUAACACGUGGGUGAUCUGCCCCAAACUUUGGGAUAAGCCUGGGAAACUGGGUCUAAUACCGAAUAUGACCGAUACUCGCAUGGGUGUUGGUGGAAAGCUCCGGCGGUUUGGGAUGGGCCCGCGGCCUAUCAGCUUGUUGGUGGGGUAAUGGCCUACCAAGGCGACGACGGGUAGCCGGCCUGGGAGGGCGACCGGCCACACUGGGACUGAGACACGGCCCAGACUCCUAUGGGAGGCAGCAGUGGGGAAUAUUGCACAAUGGGCGCAAGCCUGAUGCAGCGACGCCGCGUGAGGGAUGACGGCCUUCGGGUUGUAAACCUCUUUCACCAGGGACGAAGCGAAAGUGACGGUACCUGGAGAAGAAGCACCGGCCAACUACGUG